AUUUGGGAUAACGUCGCCAUCGCCCUGCAUGUGGACAAACAGAUGCUGAUGUUUGAUGCUGAUCAGCUGAGAAAGAACCUCAAGUUCUGCCCUCAAGGCACACCAGCAAUCGGGACUUUCGAUAGUUUCGAGGAAGCUAAAGACCAGGUUGAGAGUUUGUGGCCGGACUGUGACUCCCCACUGCAGAAGGAGUGUUCACUAAAGUAGCGUUUCACAGGUGUUACAGCUGCAACUCACUGAGUCGUACUGACUUCAUGAUCGCCAGCAUUUUAAAAUUUCUUUUUUUUUUUUAAGUUUUUAGUCAUUCACUAAAAGUUUCAAGUCAUUUUUUACUUUUUUUGUUUGUGUGGGGUUUUUUAAAAAUACAUUUUGGGCACAUUUUUAGUCACGUUGGACAAGCUUUGGAUUAUUUUGGAAAAAACUGACUCGACACACUCAAAAAAGGGAAAGAAAACAAUGUCCACAGCAAAAAUGUUUGAAAAUAAGGAGCUAUUUAUUAUAACAUUAAAUUUCUUUAAAGCUCAGAAACAAAAAGGCUGAUGAUGUUACAGAUAAACUCAGGAUGAAUGGGGUCUUGGAUGUGAGUUGUGGUCAAAAGACUGUCUCUGUCUGGAAGGCCACACCUUCCUGGCAGUCUCCCAUGCUUUUAUCCCCAUCCUUCAGCCACUCGAUGGGGUUAACUCAAGAAGAACAGAAAUUAAUAAAGAAGGAAAACAAUCAUUCUGGCUCCUACAAUGUGCAUGUUCCAUCAGAUCUCUGAUCCACUGUUCGUACCAUUCAGCCUGUAUAUGUACUGCAUAUAUCUCACAUUGUUUCUACAGCCUGCACCACUAUCGGCACCUUUAUAUGUGCAUUUGUCCAGCUUUCUAUUAAUGUAUGUUAUCUACAGCUUUUACAUGUAAUGCUUCGUGGUGUUUGUACCACUCUGUUUAUACACUGGAGGCCGUAUGCUAACACUGCCAGUGAUGCACUUUUUUCUUCUUCUUUUGCACUUCUGGUUAAAUUGCUGUCGUAAUACUUGUACUGUGUGCAAUGACAAUAAAGUUGAAGCUAAUUUAAUCAAA
Long non-coding RNA from Stegastes partitus (bicolor damselfish), 1064 nucleotides. RefSeq lists it as uncharacterized. Lineage: Eukaryota; Metazoa; Chordata; Actinopteri; Pomacentridae. The record is from RefSeq and is a predicted model, not a curated record. The transcript is spliced from 2 exons.